UACGUAGGGUGCAAGCGUUGUCCGGAUUUAUUGGGCGUAAAGAGCGUGUAGGCGGCUAGAUAGGUCCGUUGUGAAAACUCGAGGCUCAACCUCGAGACGUCGAUGGAAACCAUCUGGCUAGAGUCCGGAAGAGGAGAGUGGAAUUCCUGGUGUAGCGGUGAAAUGCGCAGAUAUCAGGAAGAACACCCGUGGCGAAGGCGGCUCUCUGGUACGUGACUGACGCUGAGACGCGAAAGCGUGGGGAGCAAACAGG
This 253-nucleotide ribosomal RNA is filed under the name uncultured bacterium. RNAcentral's name for it is "partial 16S ribosomal RNA". It matches the Rfam family "Bacterial small subunit ribosomal RNA", at positions 524 to 776 of the family's 1533-position model. The record is from RNAcentral.